UACGAAGGGUGCAAGCGUUACUCGGAAUUACUGGGCGUAAAGCGUGCGUAGGUGGUUUGUUAAGUCUGCUGUGAAAGCCCCGGGCUCAACCUGGGAAUGGCAGUGGAUACUGGCAAGCUAGAGUGCGGUAGAGGGUAGUGGAAUUCCCGGUGUAGCGGUGAAAUGCGUAGAGAUCGGGAGGAACACCAGUGGCGAAGGCGGCAUCCUGGACCAAUUCUGACGCUGAGGAGCGAAAGCUA
Molecule: ribosomal RNA, 239 nt
Filed under: uncultured bacterium
Lineage: Bacteria
Description: partial 16S ribosomal RNA
Rfam family: Bacterial small subunit ribosomal RNA
Source: RNAcentral